This 334-nucleotide RNase P RNA is filed under the name Actinomycetota bacterium. Its description in RNAcentral is "RNase P RNA component class A". It matches the Rfam family "Bacterial RNase P class A". Rfam says of the family: Ribonuclease P (RNase P) is a ubiquitous endoribonuclease, found in archaea, bacteria and eukarya as well as chloroplasts and mitochondria. Its best characterised activity is the generation of mature 5'-ends of tRNAs by cleaving the 5'-leader elements of precursor-tRNAs. The record is from RNAcentral. Lineage: Bacteria; Bacillati; Actinomycetota.
CGGGCAGACCAAGCAGCCGCGGAGGCUCGCCCUUCGAGGAAAGUCCGGACAUCACAGGGCAGGGUGGUCGGGAACCCGACCCGGGGAAACCCGCGGGAAAGUGCCACAGAAAACACACCGCCGAUGGCGCGCCGGGCGGUUGCCGUCAAGCGCGCACAGGCAAGGGUGAAAUGGUGCGGUAAGAGCGCACCGGCGCCGUGGCGACGCGGUGGCCAGGCAAACCCCACCCGAUGCAAGGCCAAGCCGGACCGCUUGCAGGCUGCCCGCCAAGGUCCAGGUCGGCCGCGCAGAUGGAUGGCUGCUCACGACAGAAUCCGGCUUACCGGCCCGCUAC